AUCUCUGUUUCUUUUGCAUUUAAGCGAGAAAAUCUUUCGCCUUUUACUAAAGAUUUCCGUUCAAAGGUGUAUUUUAUGAGUGUAGAAUAAUUUUUGGAAGCCCCUCGAAAGAGCGGGAU
This is a non-coding RNA of Ancylostoma duodenale, 119 nucleotides long. Lineage: Eukaryota; Metazoa; Nematoda; Chromadorea; Rhabditida; Ancylostomatidae. The record is from Rfam.